GCUGGGUAUUUCGUCUUUUUCAUACAAUUUCUCGGCUCAUAAUUUAUGACAUGCUUUGAAAUUUUCCACAAUAUAGCAUGAAUAUGUCCUUUAAACACUGGCACAAUUGGUGGUUUGUAAUCCGCUUAUUUAAUUCAAAUUAUUCCCCUUGAAAGACACUGUUUCGUUUGAGCAGUUCACAGGAAGCGCAACCUGUCUCGUAGUGUUCAUUUUCAAUGGUUAUUAAACGCUGUAAAUCAAAAUGAUAUCUUGUACUAAUGGAUGUCUUCAAUCGAAGAAGGUUCGGAAAUGAUAUUUCCACAUGCUUAAAAUAGGUUGGGAAGUUAUUUUUCAAGACCCCGAGGAAGUGUGAGGUGUAUGGAAUCAGCUGUGAAGGAUCUGGAAAGCAGGUGUUUUACCUCGCAGACGAAGCCAGUCACAUGGUAAAGGUGCAAAUGCUGUGGUCAGCCAGGUUCACCACUACCUCAACACAUACGGUCUUGGCGAACAGCAUGCACACUUUUGAAAGUGUGACAACUGUUGCGGCCAAAGUAAAAACAACAUAGUCAUCGGGUACCUUCUGUGAAGAGUUCUUGUAGAUAAUAACAAGCCCUUAGUUAUUGUGUUUCUGAUAGCUUUUUUUAAUGUUGAGAAAUUAAUUUAGCUAAACCUGUUGUUAAAAAUAUUUGUUUGCAGUAAUGCAAUUGCAAAAUGGUAAAUCAUGUUGAUAUGUAGUAAAUAUGUUUAAAAAAAAUACUCUGAUAUCAAUCCCAAAAAGAAAAUUCUCUUAAAAUAAUAUAUUGAAAUGAGUCAACAUUUUUAAGUCAGUCAAUUACUACAAAAUACAUAUUCCAAAUUGUAGCCUGACCUUUUUUAAUAAUUAUUUUUUAACAUUUCAGGUUUGCACAAAAUCAUCACACUAAGCUUUAUGUUUAUAAGACAUACAAAGUUUACACCAGAUUGGCACUUUGGCAUCUGGAAGUCAAAGUGGAGAUACUUCAAUGCAGAAAUGCUGUCUGGUGUGACUGCAUCUUUGGGGUUAUCGUCAAGGACGGGCCAUAACAUCCCCCAGCUUGUGGGGGACUCUCCCAAUCCUGUUGUUAUCUAAGACAGGAAGGAUUACCUUACAACAUUGUUUCACCACAUAAAGAAUGUCACCAAAUUUCAUCAAUUUCCAUGUGUCAGCGGAGCAUCCCGGUGUUGUGGAAUGCAGGGAAUUUAGUGACUCACCAGUAGUCAGAAUCACUCUCAGGAAGGUCUCGAAAGUGAAUGUUAAUGUGAGCUGUGACAACCUGCCAUAAGAAAUGUUUGCGAAAGGGCUUGAUCUGGACCAUUAGUGGUAUUUAUUUGAAAACAUUCGUGAAUUCUGUCGCAUAGAUGAACCAAAAACUUGACAUGUCCGAAACGCGCUACUGGUGAGCAACAAAAAACAGACUGUGCCCCCCAAAAAAGAAGAUGCAUUAAGAUGCGCAUCUGAUCUUCUCUGAUGGUACCACAACAAUUACAUACAUCAUGUAUCAGUGUUUAUUUUGGCCAAGGUAUUGGGUGAUAUAUUUUCCCCCAAACAAUGCAAAAAAUUCUCUAUUCCUAGGAAAGCUAAAACAUGUAUACGAUUGCUAAAUGUGUCAGUUGAUACAGGUUUUGAAAUGUUCAAUGCAAACGUUUGUUGUUCUAAUUGCACAAACUUGUUUUCAAGUUAUUUAUAUCUCAUAUUGACAAAACAAAAAUCAUUUUUCCAUGUAAACAUGCAAUUGUUUUCACCUUAUGGACACAGACUGCCUUUCGGAAAAACUGGGGAAAAAAUCAGUGUGAAUAUUGUAUUUAUUUAUGUUUUACAAUGAAAAUCCUAUAUUUUUGUUUGUUUGCUACAUUGUUUCCAUAGUAACAAAAACAAACAAUUUUUAUGUUUGAGUUAUUGAUUAUUUUGUCUAUUUUUCUCUAUCAGAAAUAAUGAUAAAUAAUGAUUAUUUCAUUUACUGAAACAUUUAGUAUUCAAGUGUACUUUCAACCAACACUUUUCAAUGCUGUGUUUUUCCAUUUUGUUGUGUUUGAGGUUAUAUUAUACUUAAAUACACAUGUAACGGAAUAAAAAAAGGAAAUUGUUCAUGGAACACACAAAUUAUUGAUUGUAAUUGUUUAACUAGUUACAAAACAGUGAAAUUAAUGGUGUGUUUGCCUUUAAACAAACACUUGAUUGAAAAUACAAUUCAUAGAUUUAUAAAAGGCGUGAUUGUGUGCUCUGGUGAUUAUUAACAUGUAGAUCGGUUACCAUAGCAACACAAAUGGUACAUUGUAAAUGCCCAUAAUGCUGUUGUCAGUUUAUUGCACUAUAAUUAUGUAUUUGACUAAAGGAAAGAUUAUUGUUUUAAUAAAACAAUGACUUGUUGUUUGAAUGUUUUCGUUGUUUUUUGUAUUAAAUGAUAACUUUAAGUGACGGUAAA
Dreissena polymorpha is the source of this 2420-nucleotide long non-coding RNA. RefSeq lists it as uncharacterized. The record is from RefSeq and is a predicted model, not a curated record. The transcript is spliced from 4 exons. Lineage: Eukaryota; Metazoa; Mollusca; Bivalvia; Myida; Dreissenidae.